Long non-coding RNA from Dromiciops gliroides (monito del monte), 878 nucleotides. RefSeq lists it as uncharacterized. The record is from RefSeq and is a predicted model, not a curated record. The transcript has 3 exons. NCBI's taxonomy places the organism in Eukaryota, Metazoa, Chordata, Mammalia, Microbiotheria, Microbiotheriidae.
AGAGAGUCUGCCUCAAGAAGUCUAAUGCAUAGCUGUGAGAGCUGCCAGUUGGAGUCAGAGGGAAGAGGCUGCAAUGUAACAAAGCUGCUAAAGAGAUGAAACCUGUAAAGACAGGUGCAGAAGGAGAUGGAAGGCAUGAGGUCAAAGGGAAGCUUGCUCCUUUUUGUAUUGGAGAUUCUCCACAUUCCAGUAUGUAGAUCAUGUUGGCAGCUGGAACUGGAAGUUGCCUUAAAGAAGUCACUUUUCUGGCCUCUAAAAUUCUUCCUUCAGGAGGCAGGGAGGAAGCAGAUAUAAACAGAAUCAUCAAAGUCCAGUGGCAGGACAAAGAUCAAGAUGACUGGUUAUGGCCUGUGAUGCAAUGGAUGACCUUGGCAUCUUCAAUGUCUGACCAAGCUCUAAGCACUCCUCGAUGCCUGAUUCAGCUACCUGCAUGGCUAUCGGAACAAAUUGUUCUCAUCCACCCAUUCCACCAGGGGAAAUAUUCCCAUGCUUGGAGUAGACAUUCCCUUAACUCACUGAUGGGUUGGAUGCCUGUCAGUUACUCUCAAUCUGGUUUUUAGCCUGUCUGCUUAAAUGGUUUUACUGGUGUCAACCUGACCAAACCAGCCUGUAAUCUGUGGAUAGCUGGAGCCAAACAGCACAUGCUAGAGAUAAGAGAGUUUGGACUCAAACGACAGUUUAAUUUCAAAGUGAGGGAAGCAGCUUACAAGCAAGGAGGCCAAUUAGACACAUGUGCCAGGGCCUCACCCCUAGUAGGGGGACCUGAGGCACCACAGGUGGUUGAGCAACCCUGAAAAGGGCUCAGCAAGUCCUCACACCAGAGGUGCUAGCUUGCUCUCUCUCUCUCUGUCUCUCUGUCUCUCUGUCUCUCUGUCUCU